ACUCAGGGGGAGGUGAACCAGUCCUCUCAGUGUGGCAGACUCAGGGGAGGUGAACCAGUCCUCUCAGUGAGGCAGACUCAGGGGGAGGUGAACCAGUCCUCUCAGUGUGGCAGACUCAGGGGGAGGUGAACCAGUCCUCUCAGUGUGGCAGACUCAGGGGGAGGUGAACCAGUCCUCUCAGUGUGGCAGACUCAGGGGGAGGUGAACCAGUCCUCUCAGUGAGGCAGACUCAGGGGGAGGUGAACCAGUCCUCUCAGUGUGGCAGACUCAGGGGGAGGUGAACCAGUCCUCUCAGUGUGGCAGACUCAGGGGGAGGUGAACCAGUCCUCUCAGUGUGGCAGACUCAGGGGAGGUGACCGGGUGGAGUAACCGGGUGGUAGCCGGCUAGUGACAGUAUCUAACUUCAGGACAGGGUACUGGGUGAAGGUCUGGCUAUUGAUGGCUAUUGAACAGUCUGAUGGCCUUGAGAUAGAAGCUGGAUUUUCAGUCUCUCGGUCACAGCUUUGAAGCACAUGUACUUUCCUCGCCUUCUGGAUGAUAGCGGGGUGAACAGGCCCGUGGCUCGGGUGGUUGAUGACAGGAUGCUCUCAAUGGUGCAUCUUAGGGGGCCAAGCUGAAUUCUCUUCAGCCACCUGAGGUUGAAGAGGCGCUGUUGUGCCUUCUUCACCACACUGUCUGCGUGGGUUCCUCGCCCUGAGCUCAUCUACUUUAUUGUCCAGGGACUGAACAUUAGCGAGUAAUGUACUCGGAAGCGGUGGAUGGUGUGUGCGCCUCCUGAUUCGGACUAGAAGUCCACUCGGAAUACCUCUUCUCUACCGGGGGCGUCUUAGAGCAGCCUCUGAGAUAAGUUAAAUUACCUUGGGGGAGUACGAACAAAAAAAUCCACUUCAGGAAAGUUGUACUUCUGGUGGGAAUGCUGGUGAGUUACCUCCGCUCUGAUAUCCAAAAGUUAUUUCCGGCUGUACGUAAUAACACAAAAAAUGUUCUGGGCUAAUAAGAAAUAACACCCCAAAGAAUUACUGCAAAGUUUAAAUUAUUAUUAUUUUUUACUUCACCUU
Molecule: long non-coding RNA, 1058 nt
Filed under: Salmo salar (Atlantic salmon)
Lineage: Eukaryota; Metazoa; Chordata; Actinopteri; Salmoniformes; Salmonidae
Description: lncRNA (ENSSSAG00000082266.1)
Source: RNAcentral